RNAcentral lists this long non-coding RNA (706 nucleotides) under Lactuca sativa (garden lettuce). RNAcentral's name for it is "long non-coding RNA (LSAT_LNC006842)". The record is from RNAcentral. Lineage: Eukaryota; Viridiplantae; Streptophyta; Magnoliopsida; Asterales; Asteraceae.
GAAUGACAAAUAGCACAAGGUUACGAAUACCAAUGGCAACGGGCAUAAAGCUAACUCCUUCGUUAGAUAAAUCUGCUGUUGAUAUUACUUUAUAUCGAAGCAUGAUUGGGUCUUUAUUGUAUUUAACUGCAAGUAGACCUGAUAUUAUGUAUUCUGUUUGUAAUUGUGCAAGGUAUCAAUCAAAUCCACGUGAACCACAUCUCACAGCAGUAAAGAAUAUUUUCCGAUAUUUGAAAGGUACUACUUCGUUAGGAUUGUGGUAUCCUUCGAAAACAGGGUUCUUUGUACAAGCUUAUUCGGAUGCGGAUCUUGGAGGAUGCAGUCUUGAUCGUAAAAGCACAACUGGUGGGUGUCAAUUGCUAGAUGGAAAGCUGGUCAGCUGGCAAUCGAAGAAGCAAACAUGUGUUUCAAUAUCAACCGCUGAAGCUGAAUAUGUUGCUGCAGCUGCGUGUACANUGUAUUUAACUGCAAGUAGACCUAAUAUUAUGUAUUCUGUUUGUAAUUGUGCAAGGUAUCAAUCAAAUCCACGUGAACCACAUCUCACAGCAGUAAAGAAUAUUUUCCGAUAUUUGAAAGCUACUACUUCGUUAGAAUUGUGGUAUCCUUCGAAAACAGGGUUCUUUGUACAAGCUUAUUCGGAUGCGGAUCUUGGAGGAUGCAGUCUUGAUCGUAAAAGCACAACUGGUGAGUGUCAAUUUCUAAAUGG